CAUAACUACUAGGGGUGCCCUUGGUGAGGGCUGAGAGAAAAACGGAAAGUUUUUCAACCCUUCGGACCUGACCCGGGUAAUGCCGGCGUGGGAAAGUAGUUAUUCUUUUCC
Molecule: non-coding RNA, 111 nt
Filed under: Caldibacillus debilis
Lineage: Bacteria; Bacillati; Bacillota; Bacilli; Caryophanales; Bacillaceae
Also listed under: 1 other name
Description: TPP sequence
Rfam family: TPP riboswitch aptamer (THI element)
About the family: Vitamin B(1) in its active form thiamin pyrophosphate (TPP) is an essential coenzyme that is synthesised by coupling of pyrimidine and thiazole moieties in bacteria. The previously detected thiamin-regulatory element, thi box was extended, resulting in a new, highly conserved RNA secondary structure, the THI element, which is widely distributed in eubacteria and also occurs in some archaea.
Source: RNAcentral